GAUGAACGCUGGCGGCGUGCCUAAUACAUGCAAGUCGAGCGAACAGACGAGGAGCUUGCUCCUUUGACGUUAGCGGCGGACGGGUGAGUAACACGUAGGUAACCUACCUAUAAGACUGGGAUAACUUCGGGAAACCGGAGCUAAUACCGGAUAAUAUUUCGAACCGCAUGGUUCGAUAGUUAAAGAUGGCUUUGCUAUCACUUAUAGAUGGACCUGCGCCGUAUUAGCUAGUUGGUAAGGUAACGGCUUACCAAGGCAACGAUACGUAGCCGACCUGAGAGGGUGAUCGGCCACACUGGAACUGAGACACGGUCCAGACUCCUACGGGAGGCAGCAGUAGGGAAUCUUCCGCAAUGGGCGAAAGCCUGACGGAGCAACGCCGCGUGAGUGAUGAAGGUCUUCGGAUCGUAAAACUCUGUUAUUAGGGAAGAACAAACGUGUAAGUAAAUGUGCAAGUCUUGACGGUACCUAAUCAGAAAGCCACGGCUAACUACGUG
Molecule: ribosomal RNA, 497 nt
Filed under: uncultured bacterium
Lineage: Bacteria
Description: partial 16S ribosomal RNA
Rfam family: Bacterial small subunit ribosomal RNA
Source: RNAcentral